Molecule: ribosomal RNA, 451 nt
Filed under: uncultured bacterium
Lineage: Bacteria
Description: bacterial SSU rRNA
Rfam family: Bacterial small subunit ribosomal RNA
Source: RNAcentral
AGCGAACGCUGGCGGCAGGCCUAACACAUGCAAGUCGAACGGAUCCUUCGGGAUUAGUGGCGGACGGGUGAGUAACACGUGGGAACGUGCCCUUUGGUUCGGAACAACUCAGGGAAACUUGAGCUAAUACCGGAUGUGCCCUUCGGGGGAAAGGAUUUAUCGCCAUUGGAGCGGCCCGCGUCUGAUUAGCUAGUUGGUGGGGUAAAGGCCCACCAAGGCGACGAUCAGUAGCUGGUCUGAGAGGAUGAUCAGCCACAUUGGGACUGAGACACGGCCCAAACUCCUACGGGAGGCAGCAGUGGGGAAUCUUGCGCAAUGGGCGAAAGCCUGACGCAGCCAUGCCGCGUGAAUGAUGAAGGUCUUAGGAUUGUAAAAUUCUUUCACCGGGGACGAUAAUGACGGUACCCGGAGAAGAAGCCCCGGCUAACUUCGUGCCAGCCGCCGCAGUAAC